Non-coding RNA from Mus caroli (Ryukyu mouse), 403 nucleotides. The record is from RefSeq and is a predicted model, not a curated record. Lineage: Eukaryota; Metazoa; Chordata; Mammalia; Rodentia; Muridae.
GUCCCCGUCCGGUCCGCUCCUCCCCUGCUCUCCGUUCCUCGUAGUCCCUUAGCGCUUCCUACUCCCCUUCUCCGCAAGUUUUUCUUGAGAACAAACACCCGAGGGGAGGCUGGACCUAGAGGCUGGUGUCUUUUGGGAGCGUUGAUCGUGAACAUCAAUUGAGUAUCUAUGGAACCGAGGAAAGGAAGCUGGGAAGGUUAAAGUCCUGCGAGGCUGACAGAGCAUGGACAAUGGCUUAAGACGGGCAAGCAGGGGACAAAUGGAAGGUUCUGGAAAUGCUGCCUUGAGACUCACCGUAGAAGAACAGGAAGAGCCUGUUGACUCAUUCUUGAGGUACCAUUGUCUACACAGAGAAAACUGAAGCUUAGAGUGUGUUCCUUUUUCUCAAGUCCACACAGCUUGG